RNAcentral lists this ribosomal RNA (546 nucleotides) under Triticum aestivum (bread wheat). Its description in RNAcentral is "partial small subunit ribosomal RNA". The record is from RNAcentral. Lineage: Eukaryota; Viridiplantae; Streptophyta; Magnoliopsida; Poales; Poaceae.
GCCUGUGAGCACCGCACGAGGAUGAGGGUGCUGGGCAGGCACGUCUCGCCGAGGCAGAUGGCGCUGCUCGCCGCAGGGCUGGUGUUCUUUGGGGCGACGACGUACGACGUGCACCGCUCCAUCAAGAACAACGACCAGCCCCCGACCAGGGACCAGGUGGCCGCGCUCCAGGACUUCAUCGACUCCAGGAAGCGCUAAUUUGGAUUUUGGGCCCGCCGAUGCUCGAUCGAUUCCCCCUGCCGGCGGCGCUGUGUGAUCUCUGUUCUGUGCUGCGUUCUUCUGAAGCAAUAAAAGCGGCCAUGGAUGUGUCGACAGUGUUAUAUUCCCCAAAGGAGGAACUGACUAGUGCGUAUGGAAUCUGUACACUAAGGAAUGGCUUGUAUUAUUAGUUGUGGAGUUGUGAUCAUCUCGACUCUCUCCUUGAAACAGCUAGCUAUAAUAAACUGCUGCAAUUUCAUAUGUUCACAUCUACCUCCGCAGUUCCUGUGAAAUGCAAGUAGUUUCUUCAACUAAUAUUAUGUUGUCCGCUUCAUGCCAGAGUCACUG